RNAcentral lists this transfer RNA (73 nucleotides) under Ixodes scapularis (black-legged tick). RNAcentral describes it as "tRNA-Ser". The record is from RNAcentral. Lineage: Eukaryota; Metazoa; Arthropoda; Arachnida; Ixodida; Ixodidae.
UCCUGGUUAGCUCAGUUGGAAGAGCGCACCACUGGAGAUAGAGAGCUUCCUGAUUCGAUACCAGGACCAGGUG